Molecule: long non-coding RNA, 364 nt
Filed under: Homo sapiens (human)
Lineage: Eukaryota; Metazoa; Chordata; Mammalia; Primates; Hominidae
Description: non-protein coding lnc-GTF2H2C-2:1
Source: RNAcentral
AUGUGAAUUUCUUCGGAGUAAGAAAUCCUCAGAGGAAAUUACCCAGUAUAUUCAAAGCUACAAGGGAUUUGUUGACAUAACGGUCUGUUUUCAAGGUCAGUUUCCGGAAACAGUGACCCUGAGAAGGCUUCCUCCUGAGUAUGCAUAAACAUUCACAGCUUGCAUGCGUGUGUGUGUGUGUGUGUGUGUGUGUGUGUGUGUAUGUUUGCUUGCACUGCAUAAAAACAAUUGCAACAUCAACAGAAAUAAAAAUUAAAGGAAUAAUUCUCCUCCGACUCUGCCGUUCCAUCCAGUGAAACUCUUCAUUCUGGGGGAGAACAUUUUGUGAAUUCCUGGGUCCAGAGAGAAUUACCUAUGGCAUCAG